RNAcentral lists this unclassified non-coding RNA (1573 nucleotides) under uncultured fungus. RNAcentral describes it as "sequence contains 18S rRNA gene, ITS1, 5.8S rRNA gene, ITS2, 28S rRNA gene". The stretch from base 623 to 1573 matches the Rfam family "Eukaryotic large subunit ribosomal RNA", at positions 1 to 961 of the family's 3401-position model. The record is from RNAcentral. Lineage: Eukaryota; Fungi.
GGAAGGAUCAUUACCGAGCGUGGGUCCCCUGCACCCCCCACCCCUUCCCGGGGGUUGGGGGGGGCCGCGGGGUUGACCCUAGACCUCCCACCCUUGUCGAUCGUACCGUGUUGCUUCGGCGGGCCCGCCAUUGGCCGCCGGGGGGCUCGCGACUCGUGAGCGUUGUCCCCGGGCCCGUGCCCGCCGGAGACCUCCCUCGAAAUGCUACUGUGGUCAGGAAUGCUGUCUGAGUGGGAAUGAUGUGAGAAAUUGAUCAGUCAAAACUUUCAACAAUGGAUCUCUUGGUUCCGGCAUCGAUGAAGAACGCAGCGAAAUGCGAUAAGUAAUGCGAAUUGCAGAAUUCCGUGAGUCAUCGAAUCUUUGAACGCACAUUGCGCCCCCCGGCUUCCCGGGGGGCAUGCCUGUCCGAGCGUCAUUGCCAUCCCCUCAAGCUCCGCUUGGCUGGUUGGGCCGGCGUCCCCCCCACGGCUCUGUGCCGGGCGGGGGGGACGGGCCCGAAAGGUAGUGGCGGCUCCCGGAGAGGAUGGGUCCCUUGGGGCGGUGAUACAUGGGUUGUCAUCCUUUGCCGCUCCCUUGGCCACGCUCCGGAGGCCCGUCGAACGAUUGGUCUUCUCCUUUAGGUUGACCUCGGAUCAGGUAGGGAUACCCGCUGAACUUAAGCAUAUCAAUAAGCGGAGGAAAAGAAACCAACCGGGAUUGCCUCAGUAACGGCGAGUGAAGCGGCAAGAGCUCAAAUUUGAAAUCUGGCCCCUCCCGGGGGUCCGAGUUGUAAUUUGGAGAGGAUGCUUCGGGUUCGGUCCCGGUCCAAGUGCUCUGGGACGGGCCGUCGGAGAGGGUGAGAAUCCCGUCUGCGACCGGUGACUGGGCCUAGGUGAAAGCUCCCUCGACGAGUCGAGUUGUUUGGGAAUGCAGCUCUAAAUGGGUGGUAAAUUUCAUCUAAAGCUAAAUAUGGGCCGGAGACCGAUAGCGCACAAGUAGAGUGAUCGAAAGAUGAAAAGCACUUUGGAAAGAGAGUCAAACAGCACGUGAAAUUGUUGAAAGGGAAGCGCUUGCGAUCAGACUCGCCCGGGGAGGUUCAGCCGGCACUUGUGCCGGUGCAUAUUCCUACCCGGGCGGGCCAGCGUCGGUUUGGACGGCCUGUCAAAGGCCGCCGGAAGGUAGCGCCCUUCGGGGCGUCUUAUAGCCGGGGGUGCCAUGUGGCCUGUCUGGACCGAGGAACGCGCUUUCGGGCUCGGACGCUGGCGUAAUGGUCGUAAGCGGCCCGUCUUGAAACACGGACCAAGGAGUCUAACAUCCACGCGAGUGUUCGGGUGUUCAAAACCCGUCCGCGCAGUGAAAGCGAACGGAGGUGGGAACCCCUUGGGGUGCACCAUCGACCGAUCCUGAUGUCUUCGGAUGGAUUUGAGUAGGAGCGUGGCUGUUGGGACCCGAAAGAUGGUGAACUAUGCCUGAAUAGGGCGAAGCCAGAGGAAACUCUGGUGGAGGCUCGCAGCGGUUCUGACGUGCAAAUCGAUCGUCAAAUUUGGGUAUAGGGGCGAAAGACUAAUCGAACCAUCUGGUAGCUGGUUCCUGC